Molecule: ribosomal RNA, 1910 nt
Filed under: Orbilia tremulae
Lineage: Eukaryota; Fungi; Ascomycota; Orbiliomycetes; Orbiliales; Orbiliaceae
Description: eukaryotic LSU rRNA
Rfam family: Eukaryotic large subunit ribosomal RNA (bases 1291-1910)
Source: RNAcentral
CCUUAGAUGUUCUGGGCCGCACGCGCGCUACACUGACAGAGCCAACGAGUUCCAACCUUGACCGAGAGGUCUGGGUAAUCUUGUUAAACUCUGUCGUGCUGGGGAUAGAGCAUUGCAAUUAUUGCUCUUCAACGAGGAAUAUCUAGUAAGCGCAAGUCAUCAGCUUGCGUUGAUUACGUCCCUGCCCUUUGUACACACCGCCCGUCGCUACUACCGAUUGAAUGGCUCAGUGAGGCCUUCGGACUGGCUCAGGGAGGUCGGCAACGACCACCCAGAGCCGGAAAGUUGGUCAAACUUGGUCAUUUAGAGGAAGUAAAAGUCGUAACAAGGUUUAGAUCAAGUUCGGACAGCUGAUCCUUCCGUGACACUUAUGAGAAGCCUUUGUGGCCCCGCAAGGGGUAUUAGCCGCGACAGUAAAGAAGGAUGCUAGUAUUAAAUCGCAAGUCAGCCCCCCCAAGGCGCUGGCAACACUUUCGAAUUGCGGGGACGCCCUAAAGCCCUCUCUACCAACCCGGCCGGGAAACCGCCUGGGGGCCAAUGCUAAUGACAUUGGGUACGGUAAUAAGGAGUUCGGGAUACGUGGGCAAUCCGCAGCCAAGUCCCUAAAGCCUCUUUUGGCCACGGGAAAGGUUCACAGACUAAGUGGAAGUGGGCUGGAUUGAUUCAGCUUAAGAUAUAGUCGGGCCCGACGGGAAACCGCCGGGGAAGUCACACUCUAUAACCGUUCCGUAGGUGAACCUGCGGAAGGAUCAUUAACAAAUGUCUCCUUGACAAGCUUUGCGCCGGGCUCGUCCCGGACAGAGUUCCACCCCAUGUGAACCUUCCUAACUAUGCUUCGGCAGCGUGCCAGAUCGCCGCGUCUGACGCGGCAGGACUGUAAGACUGCCUUGGCCCCAAUCUAUAAACUUGUUUACCUGAAUCAGUCUGAGCAUUCUGAAUUGAAUGAAAAUUAAAACUUUCAACAACGGAUCUCUUGGUUCUCGCAUCGAUGAAGAACGCAGCGAAACGCGAUAGUUAAUGUGAAUUGCAGAAUUCAGUGAAUCAUCGAGUCUUUGAACGCACAUUGCGCCCGUUGGUAUUCCGACGGGCACGUCUGUUUGAGCGUCAUCUCAACCCUCAGCUGAACCGGGCUUGUCCCGCGCAGGCCGGUCUUGAGCUCGGGCGUCCCUUCACGGGACUCCGGCUUUAAAGUUGCACGCUCUGCGGGCCCACCGCUUCCAGAACAUAGUAUAACUGCCCUGUUCGAAGGAGCUGGCGAGCUACCGCCUGAACAAAUACAAACCAAAGGUUUGACCUCAGAUCAGACGAGGAUACCCGCUGAACUUAAGCAUAUCAAUAAGCGGAGGAAAAGAAACCAACAGGGAUUGCCUCAGUAACGGCGAGUGAAGCGGCAAGAGCUCAAAUUUGAAAUCUGGCGCAAGCCCGAGUUGUAAUUUGAAGAGGAUGCCUCGGCUGGGGUCACGGCUUAAGUUCCUUGGAACAGGACGUCUAAGAGGGUGAGAAUCCCGUACGGCCGCCGACCCGCGCCAUGUGUGGCUCCUUCGAAGAGUCGAGUUGUUUGGGAAUGCAGCUCAAAAUGGGUGGUAAAUUUCAUCUAAAGCUAAAUAUUGGCGAGAGACCGAUAGCGCACAAGUAGAGUGAUCGAAAGAUGAAAAGCACUUUGAAAAGAGAGUUAAACAGUACGUGAAAUUGUUGAAAGGGAAGCGCUUGCGAUCAGACUCGCUGGCGGUUGAUCAACGUUCCUUCUGGUUCGUGCACUCUUCCGUCUGCGGGCCAGCAUCGGUUGGGACGGCGGGACAAAGGCGCCGGGAAUGUGGCUCCUCGGAGUGUUAUAGCCCGGCGCGCAAUGCCGCCUGCCCCGAUCGAGGUCCGCGCUUCGGCUAGGAUGCUGGCUUAAUGUUCUAAGCGAC